RNAcentral lists this ribosomal RNA (1221 nucleotides) under Salmonella enterica subsp. enterica serovar Agona. RNAcentral describes it as "partial 23S ribosomal RNA". It matches the Rfam family "Bacterial large subunit ribosomal RNA", at positions 1 to 1251 of the family's 2925-position model. Lineage: Bacteria; Pseudomonadati; Pseudomonadota; Gammaproteobacteria; Enterobacterales; Enterobacteriaceae. The record is from RNAcentral.
GGGUUGUGAGGUUAAGCGACUAAGCGUACACGGUGGAUGCCCUGGCAGUCAGAGGCGAUGAAGGGCGUGCUAAUCUGCGAUAAGCGCCGGUAAGGUGAUAUGAACCGUUAUAACCGGCGAUACCCGAAUGGGGAAACCCAGUGUGACUCGUCACACUAUCAUUAACUGAAUCCAUAGGUUAAUGAGGCGAACCGGGGGAACUGAAACAUCUAAGUACCCCGAGGAAAAGAAAUCAACCGAGAUUCCCCCAGUAGCGGCGAGCGAACGGGGAGGAGCCCAGAGCCUGAAUCAGCAUGUGUGUUAGUGGAAGCGUCUGGAAAGGCGCGCGAUACAGGGUGACAGCCCCGUACACAAAAGCGCAUGUGCUGUGAGCUCGAUGAGUAGGGCGGGACACGUGGUAUCCUGUCUGAAUAUGGGGGGACCAUCCUCCAAGGCUAAAUACUCCUGACUGACCGAUAGUGAACCAGUACCGUGAGGGAAAGGCGAAAAGAACCCCGGCGAGGGGAGUGAAAAAGAACCUGAAACCGUGUACGUACAAGCAGUGGGAGCACAGGUUUACCUGUGUGACUGCGUACCUUUUGUAUAAUGGGUCAGCGACUUAUAUUCUGUAGCAAGGUUAACCGAAUAGGGGAGCCGGAGGGAAACCGAGUCUUAAUUGGGCGUUAAGUUGCAGGGUAUAGACCCGAAACCCGGUGAUCUAGCCAUGGGCAGGUUGAAGGUUGGGUAACACUAACUGGAGGACCGAACCGACUAAUGUUGAAAAAUUAGCGGAUGACCUGUGGCUGGGGGUGAAAGGCCAAUCAAACCGGGAGAUAGCUGGUUCUCCCCGAAAGCUAUUUAGGUAGCGCCUCGUGAAUUCAUCUCCGGGGGUAGAGCACUGUUUCGGCUAGGGGGCCAUCCCGGCUUACCAACCCGAUGCAAACUGCGAAUACCGGAGAAUGUUAUCACGGGAGACACACGGCGGGUGCUAACGUCCGUCGUGAAGAGGGAAACAACCCAGACCGCCAGCUAAGGUCCCAAAGUCAUGGUUAAGUGGGAAACGAUGUGGGAAGGCCCAGACAGCCAGGAUGUUGGCUUAGAAGCAGCCAUCAUUUAAAGAAAGCGUAAUAGCUCACUGGUCGAGUCGGCCUGCGCGGAAGAUGUAACGGGGCUAAACCAUGCACCGAAGCUGCGGCAGCGACACUCAGGUGUUGUUGGGUAGGGGAGCGUUCUGUAAGCCUG